This is a long non-coding RNA of Oncorhynchus tshawytscha (Chinook salmon), 990 nucleotides long. Lineage: Eukaryota; Metazoa; Chordata; Actinopteri; Salmoniformes; Salmonidae. The record is from Ensembl.
GGGCAUUUGAACUUUCACGUCAGGACAUAGUGAACUAGGCCUACCAUAUAGGCUAAGCCUAAACCUUUAGGGCUGAAGAAACAAAAAACAGGUAUUUUUCAUUGAAUAUGCUCAUUUUGGGUAGGGUCUUUAUGAUGAGAUGAUGCAACAUGUCCCAGCAUGUUCCCAUGCAAUGCUGUGCAACUGAGGAAAUGCCACACCAAGAGGAAGAGAGACUUCCAGGCAGAAAUGUCUGACAGCGGCCUCAACCAUGACCUGUGACCUGGAAAAACUUGCCCCUAACUGAGAGAGAUGGAGAACAUUUGUCAACGGACAAUGCUUCUUAUAGGCGCCAAGGUUAAGACAAGAAGCCAAGACAGAUCAUCUCAUAAAAGAUUCAUUUGUUUUUGUAACGGCUGUCGUGGGAAGAAGGUGAGGACCAAGGUGCAGCAUGGGCCUGAGCCCUAGGACCAUGCCCCAGGACUACCUGGCCUGAUGAUUCCUGGCUGUCCCCAGUCCACCUGGUCGUGCUGCUGCUCCAGUUUAAACUGUUCUGCCUGCGGUCUUGGAACCCUGACCUGUUCACCGGAUGUGCUACUUUGUCCCUCGUUUACAACCACUGUGAUUAUUAUUUGACCCUGCUGGUCAUCUAUGAACAUUUGAAAAUCUUAAAGAACAAUCUGUCCUUAAUGGCCAUGUACUCUUAUAAUCUCCACCCGGCACAGCCAGUAGAGGACUGGCCACCCCUCAGAGCUUGGUUCCUCUCUAGGUUUCUUUGUAAGGAGUUUUUAAUAGGCACUGCAAUCUGCAUUGCUUGCUGUUUUGGGUUUUAGGUUGGGUUUCUGUAAAACACUUUGUGAUAUAAGCUGAUGUAAAAGGGCUUUAUGAAUGCAUUUGAUUGAUUGAUAGUAUUUCAAAUUGAGCUAUAUUGUAUGCAAUUUUUUAAAAUUGUAUUAUUUUAUAAUAAUACAAUUGCUCAGUGAAAGAGAUUUUGUUUAACAAGUAAUAAAA